AUUGAACGCUGGCGGCAUGCCUUACACAUGCAAGUCGAACGUGAAAGGGGGGGCAACCCCCGAGUAGAGUGGCGGACGGGUGAGUAACACAUCGGAACGUACCCAGUAGUGGGGGACAACCUCGAGAAAUCGAGGCUAUUACCGCAUACGACCCACGGGUGAAAGCGGGGGACCGCAAGGCCUCGCGCUAUUGGAGCGGCCGAUGUCCGAUUAGCUUGUUGGCGGGGUAAGAGCCCACCAAGGCGACGAUCGGUAGCUGGCCUGAGAGGAUGAUCAGCCACACUGGGACUGAGACACGGCCCAGACUCCUACGGGAGGCAGCAGUGGGGAAUUUUGGACAAUGGGGGCAACCCUGAUCCAGCCAUGCCGCGUGCGGGAAGAAGGCCUCGGUUGUAACG
This 398-nucleotide ribosomal RNA is filed under the name uncultured bacterium. RNAcentral describes it as "bacterial SSU rRNA". It matches the Rfam family "Bacterial small subunit ribosomal RNA", at positions 29 to 430 of the family's 1533-position model. The record is from RNAcentral.